This 482-nucleotide ribosomal RNA is filed under the name uncultured bacterium. Its description in RNAcentral is "partial 16S ribosomal RNA". It matches the Rfam family "Bacterial small subunit ribosomal RNA", at positions 30 to 507 of the family's 1533-position model. The record is from RNAcentral.
AUUGAACGCUGGCGGCAUGCUUUACACAUGCCAGUCGAACGGUAACAGGCCGCAAGGUGCUGACGAGUGGCGAACGGGUGAGUAAUGCAUCGGAACGUGCCCAGUCGUGGGGGAUAACUACUCGAAAGAGUAGCUAAUACCGCAUACGAUCUAUGGAUGAAAGCGGGGGACCGUAAGGCCUCGCGCGAUUGUAGCUGCCGCUGUCAGAUUAGGUAGUUGGUGGGGUAAAGGCUCACCAAGCCAACGAUCUGUAGCUGGUCUGAGAGGACGACCAGCCACACUGGGACUGAGACACGGCCCAGACUCCUACGGGAGGCAGCAGUGGGGAAUUUUGGACAAUGGGCGCAAGCCUGAUCCAGCAAUGCCGCGUGCAGGAAGAAGGCCUUCGGGUUGUAAACUGCUUUUGUACGGAACGAAACGGCUCUGGUUAAUACCCGGGGCUAAUGACGGUACCGUAAGAAUAAGCCCCGGCUAACUACGUG